RNAcentral lists this ribosomal RNA (499 nucleotides) under uncultured Sphingobacteriales bacterium. Its description in RNAcentral is "bacterial SSU rRNA". It matches the Rfam family "Bacterial small subunit ribosomal RNA", at positions 903 to 1382 of the family's 1533-position model. The record is from RNAcentral. Lineage: Bacteria; Pseudomonadati; Bacteroidota; Sphingobacteriia; Sphingobacteriales.
CGCCUUGCCAGCCCGCUCAGAACUUAAAGGAAUUGACGGGGCCGCACAAGCGGUGGAGCAUGUGGUUUAAUUCGAUGAUACGCGAGGAACCUUACCUGGGCUCAAAUGUAUGUUGACGUAUUCUGAAAGGGAUACUUCUUCGGACAAUAUACAAGGUGCUGCAUGGUUGUCGUCAGCUCGUGCCGUGAGGUGUCGGGUUAAGUCCCAUAACGAGCGCAACCCCUAUCAUUAGUUGCCAUCAGGUCAAGCUGGGGACUCUAAUGAAACUGCCUACGCAAGUAGUGAGGAAGGUGGGGAUGACGUCAAAUCAGCACGGCCCUUACGUCCAGGGCUACACACGUGCUACAAUGGCCGGUACAAAGGGCAGCUACCUGGUGACAGGAUGCUAAUCUCAAAAGCCGGUCUCAGUUCGGAUCGGAGUCUGCAACCCGACUCCGUGAAGUUGGAAUCGCUAGUAAUCGUGGAUCAGCAUGCCACGGUGAAUACGUUCCCGGGCCUU